Molecule: ribosomal RNA, 720 nt
Filed under: Microbacterium sp.
Lineage: Bacteria; Bacillati; Actinomycetota; Actinomycetes; Micrococcales; Microbacteriaceae
Description: bacterial SSU rRNA
Rfam family: Bacterial small subunit ribosomal RNA
Source: RNAcentral
GGAUUAGAUACCCUGGUAGUCCACCCCGUAAACGUUGGGAACUAGUUGUGGGGACCAUUCCACGGUUUCCGUGACGCAGCUAACGCAUUAAGUUCCCCGCCUGGGGAGUACGGCCGCAAGGCUAAAACUCAAAGGAAUUGACGGGGACCCGCACAAGCGGCGGAGCAUGCGGAUUAAUUCGAUGCAACGCGAAGAACCUUACCAAGGCUUGACAUAUACGAGAACGGGCCAGAAAUGGUCAACUCUUUGGACACUCGUAAACAGGUGGUGCAUGGUUGUCGUCAGCUCGUGUCGUGAGAUGUUGGGUUAAGUCCCGCAACGAGCGCAACCCUCGUUCUAUGUUGCCAGCACGUAAUGGUGGGAACUCAUGGGAUACUGCCGGGGUCAACUCGGAGGAAGGUGGGGAUGACGUCAAAUCAUCAUGCCCCUUAUGUCUUGGGCUUCACGCAUGCUACAAUGGCCGGUACAAAGGGCUGCAAUACCGUAAGGUGGAGCGAAUCCCAAAAAGCCGGUCCCAGUUCGGAUUGAGGUCUGCAACUCGACCUCAUGAAGUCGGAGUCGCUAGUAAUCGCAGAUCAGCAACGCUGCGGUGAAUACGUUCCCGGGUCUUGUACACACCGCCCGUCAAGUCAUGAAAGUCGGUAACACCUGAAGCCGGUGGCCCAACCCUUGUGGAGGGAGCCGUCGAAGGUGGGAUCGGUAAUUAGGACUAAGUCGUAA